Long non-coding RNA from Antechinus flavipes (yellow-footed antechinus), 1947 nucleotides. RefSeq lists it as uncharacterized. The transcript is spliced from 3 exons. Lineage: Eukaryota; Metazoa; Chordata; Mammalia; Dasyuromorphia; Dasyuridae. The record is from RefSeq and is a predicted model, not a curated record.
AAAGAAGGCACGUGACCCGCCCGAGUCAAAACACGGCGUGUCGGCGCCCGCCGGCCAAUAAAGGAACGCGCCGGGAGCCCGAGCAUGGUGGUGAUCCUGAGUUCUUGAAGGCCGGCCAGCAGACAGCAAGCCGUGACAAGCCCUUACUGACUAGAAGGAUCCAUGUGUCCUCCCAGAUCAGCCCCAUCAUUCCAGGGAGACUCCACACCAGCCUGAACUUGGGGAUUGUUCUUAAAACUCAGCAGCUCUAGAAGAAAGACCACAAGAUCAUCAAGAGUGAUCCAGUCUGAAGAGCAGAGGAUGGAACCUGCUGAGCAAAUCACAGAGACUUAAAAGAGAGAAACAGAAUAUUUAACAGGACUGUUAUUUGUUUAGCCGGAGGAGAAGCACUUCUAGCAAAGGGUGUAGUAAUUAGGCUCCUUGCUUGUCAGGCUACUGCCUACACAGUUUAAUAUAACACUGACAUCCACAUGACAAUCAAGCUGAGUAAUAAAUGCUCCAAACCAAAUGUUUUCCAUCAAAAACGUGUCAGAAAGGAAAAAAAAAAGCUUGAUUGCCAUCUUGUUCUAUUUUUUUUUUUUUAGCCAUUCCUAGUCUUCACAACAGUUUUCUGUAUUAUAAUACACAGAUACUAAUGGAAUUUUGAAUGAUUUAUUUAAUCUAAUGCACUGUUCAGAACCCAACUCUGUGUUUGUGCAAAUUGGAUUCAAUCUUGGGGAGCUUCUCACAAUUUGCCCCUUUGGCUGAUGCUGCCACUUGAGAAAUCCGCUGGAAGAGUAAACCAACCAUUCAAUCAUUCAUGCAUUAAAUCUCCAGCCGUCCCGAUCUCUAUCUUGCCACUGGACCCACUGGCUCUGGAGGAGAGAAUGAAGUUGGUGACCUUGCACAACCCUCUGGCUCUCAAAUUCAGUUCACUUGCAAGUGAAGACAUUAUCUUCUUGAUGUCAACGGUUCUCUUCAGGAAUGAAGGACAAACAAUAACAAUAAACACAUACUAGGAAUGGGCAACACUGGAAUCAUGGCUUUCCUCGCUAGUAUCUUUGUGAUCACAACAGCUUACCAUCCUUCUCAUCCAUAACAUGAGGGCGAUUGCUAAGGUCCUUCCCAGCUUUAACAUUUGAUGGUUCUUUGAUUUGAUGGACAUUCCAUGAAGUAAAAUGAUAUGAGUGAAGUCACGGAAUAGGAAUGAGCAGGGGAGACAUAGAGGGCAGUGGGAGGAUCAGCUUGGCUGGAGCAAAGGGAUGUACACAGGGAAACAAUAAAAAAUAAAGGGCACAAAGUCAAGUAAAGUUGGUCACACCUUAAAAGCCAGGUUGGGAGGUUAGGCUUGAUGUAUGAGGAAAUGGGGAACUGUUGGUACAUCUUUGAAAGACAAUGCAAGGCAGCAGUGGUCUUGGGGUUAGGAAAAUUGGGGGGUCAGAUCUUGCCUCUGGAACUCACUAGCUCAUAGACCCAGUAACCAUAGACACAGUCACUUCCCAUUUGACCCUCAGUUUCCUCAUAUUUAAAAUCGGGGUAGGAUGGACUACAUGUGAUUUCAUGGAUAUGGAGAGAAUUUCAAGAUGGGGAAAUUCCUUGUACCAAUGCAGGUCAGCCCCUUCUCUGUGACUGAUAGGCUUAGAGAGAUAUCCCCAACAAAGAGAGGUUCCCUGACUAGACCUGGGACAGUCAGUAUGGGUUGGAGUGAGAGAAGACUUGAAUUCAGGUCUUCUUUAAGACCAUUUCCUUAUUCAAUAUAAUAAGCUACCUCUCCUCUCUCCUGAGGAUCUCCUGGUCUUCUGAAAUACCAUGUAAAGAUGAGGGAAGGUAACAACACUGGAGACAUCUUCAAAAAGAUCCCCAAACCCUUGGUACAGGGAAAUAGAAUAAUAUUAAAUAUCUUGGAAUUUUCAUAAAUUUGAUGGUGACAUUUAUCCAUUUUUGUUUUCUCCUUUUUUUUCUUUUGUU